UCCUUCACAACAUCAUCACUAGCCACACCUCCAAACUUCACCACUCCAUAAACCCUCUCACCUUCUUCUCUUAUCACAACCCUCUCAUCAAUAGGCUUAGGUGCCUCUUCACCUUUUCCAUAGUUAGAUGGCAAAAUAAACUGCAUAGUGACCUUCUUAUUUGUCUCAUCACCACCACUCUUUGUAACAACCGGUGCCGUCAUCGGAAUCUUCUCUGAUAAAGUUGUUUCCUUUGUGAUAACUGGUGCUGUCAUAGCAAUCUUUUCAGGUUUUGUGUUUUGAGGGUUCCCUAAAGCUCCAAUAUAAUUUGCUAAAACCAUAAAUCCACCAUCUUUGUUGCCUUUGAAUUCUGAUGGAUCAUAUGUGACUUCAGCAGCUACAGAAGGUGCAUAUUUUCUGAUUUCAUAAUCUUGUGUUGUUUUGAUUACCUCAUAUUUUGGUGUCUCAACACCAAUUUUUCCAAAUACCAUACCCAUUAGGGAUUGAGAAUGGAAAAGGGUUUGAUGAGAGUUUGAAGAUAUUGGUAGGAGAUUUUGAUGGGUUGUAGAUGUGGCUUUCAAUCCUUUAUAUAACAACGGAUAAGGGAUUUGAAUUCCACGCAAUAACCCCAUGACGCAUUUAUUAAUUUUUUACGUUUGAUCUCAAAUCAACGAUAUAGAUAAUUUUCAAAUAAUUUUACAAUGGUGUAAUGUGAACCGACCAAUCUCAAAUUAAUGAAAAAGAUCAAUUAAUAGUAUAAAUAAGUAGUUUUUUAAGAGUUUUAUAACAAGGACAUGUAAGUGAUGGAAGUGUUAGCAAUGUUGAGAACUCUAUGAGGGUGACAUGACUUUGAGUUUCUUUGAGAAGGGGUUAGCAUUUAGAAAUUAGAGAUUCGGAUUUUGUUUAUAAAAUGAGUGGUUGUUAUUUUGCCAUAUUACCCAUGUUGUUUGUGGACUCCAUUUAUCCAUGACUCCAUUUGUGUCAUACUUGUUUUUGUUUCGUUAGAAUUAGUAGAACUUUUCUCUUUUGUUUUUACUUACACAAAAUUCUUUUGUUUUUUCAGAAUAUUUUUAAAAUAGUGAACUCUAGAUUGUCUCUAAAAAAUUGUCGCAAGUUAUCAACAAUUCUUUAAAAUCCAUCACGAUUUAGUGAAGUAUAGGUGAUUUAUUUUAAUUGGUUGUACAUAAUUUAUACAUUAUUUUUAAAAAAAAACAUAAUCUAGAAUUCCCCUUUUAAAAUACACUUGUUGACCCUUAAUUUUGUUGCUAUAUUUUUAUAUGUUCUAGUAUGUCUUUAAAUAAAUAAUAAGAUAAAAAAAUAAUAAUUUGUGAGACAUUUUAAAUUUAAUUCAAAAAUACUUUUGUUGUUUAUUUUAAAAUAGAAUAAUAAUAAUAUUCUAAAAUAUAAAAUGAAAAUAAUAAAAAUAAAUAAAUAAAUAAUUAUAAAAGGAAUAUUUAUUUCUCUUAUUGAUUUAUUUGAAUAUCUCUUAAAUUAGGUAGUAGAUUGGUUUAUCUUUUAAUUAAGAAUUUCAUUAAGGUAAUUAUUAAUAGCAAUAAUAAUUUCUUUAUUUUACGCUAAUUACUAAUAAUGAGUGAUUUGUAGAAAUAUCGACUUUAAUUUAUAAAAAAAAAAAAACAUAGUUUAUUUUUUUAAAUUAAUAAAAUAUUUGUGCAUUUAUAAGACUGACAUAUGAAAUGAAUAUUAUUGUUAUAAGAAAUGAAGAUUUUUAACUGUGACCCUUUAAAUUAUGCACUUUAAUACUAUUUUUUAAGAUAAAAUUUAAGAAUAUUAUAUCAAUAAAUCUAAUUGUGUUUUGAGAAGAUUCAAUACAAAAAUAUUUAUUAAAUAUGUAAUUAUUUUUUGUCCAAAAAAUAUAUUAUUGUUUGUGUAAAAAAUAAAAGAUACAAUGAAGGGACUUGCUUGAUAGAUACAUUCCUUUCAAUUAUUAAAAAAAAGAAAAUUAUACAAUUAUUUCAUAUAAAUUUGCUUUUUUUUUUUUUUUUCUUUCUCUUACUAAUUCUUUUUCGACAACCAUUCAAGCACACCGGUGCAAAUAUCUCCAACUUACAUCACCCGAGCAAAAAUUAAUAAGCAAUUUCAUAGUAGAAUAAAUAAUUUCAAAAAUAAGCAAGCAAUUAAUUACACAUGAGGAAAAUGUUCCUUAAAAUUAGAUCUAGUUUUCUAUAUAGGAAGAGGUUCCUUAUAUAUAUUUAUAUUAUGUCAUAUUCUACAACCGUUAGUGGAUGACAAAGGUCAAUUACAUUGUAUAUGUGUAGAAAUUGAUGUCUAGUACUAAAACCUUUUUACUUUUAUUAUUUAUAUCUAUAUAUAUAUAUAUAUAUCUAUAGAAUAUAGUUCAAAUAUUUUCUUCUUGUAAAUAUGAGAUAAUAAUAUUGUUUUAUGUAAAAUACUCAUUCUCGUAUAAGGGCAAUUUCUAUGUUAUAGAAUAUUAACUCUCUUGAUUUACUAAUUAGAUUUGAAAAAACAUAACACAACUAUUAAUAUUUAUUCUCGUAUAUGAGAUGUAAAUAUGAUUUUACAUAGAAUAUUUAUUUCUAUGUAGAUGUAGUAAUUUACAUCGUUAUAAUAUUAAUUCUUGUUUAUUUAGUAGAAAGAAAGUUAUAAUGUCUAUGUUAUAAACUAUUCAUCUAUGUAUAUUAGAUAUAAUUUCUAUAUUAUUAAAUAUUCAUUAUCUUGUAUUAUACAUAGUUUUUUAUGUUAUAAAAUAAAGUUAAAUACAUCUUUAAUUCUAAUAAAAUUGUAACUUUUUUAUGAUAACUUCGUUUGAAAAAUGAUUUUAACUCACAUGUCUUAGUUAAAUAAAGUACAUUUCUCAAUUGAACAAAAAAAAAAAUACUUCAACUUAUUCGUUAAAACAUAAAAAUAUAUAACAAAAGUACAUAUAAGACUUAUUUCUUCUUCUCUCCUACUCCAUAAUCCCUAAUCUUUCUAAGAAUAAUGAAUAUCUCUUCAUGCUUCUUUUUUGCACGUUUGUGUGUUCCAAUUUUUUCUUUACAACUGUGAGUUUCUUGUUAUCUUUUCCGAUCUUUGAGCAACUCAAUUAUAUCUUCUCAUAAGUCGCAGACCGCUAAUGAGAUUUCUUACAAAAUACACUCUCUUAUUUGUUUUCCCCUUGCAAUUUGAGGGGUGUGGAACCAAUUCCUUCUUAGUAACGUGACUCUAGUUCAAUCCAACAAACAAAACAGAGUUGGGUUGUUUAGGAGUCGUUUCCCUAUCAUUUCGGUGAACUUAAAUUUUUUAUACUUUAAUACUAUUUUUUUAAGAUAAAACCUAAGAAUGUUAUAUAAACAUGAUGAAUCUACUCGUAUUUUGGGAAGAUUCAGUGUAAAAAUAUUUAUUAAGUUAUGAUUAUUUUUUGCCCAAAAAAUUUAUUAUUAUUUGUUUAUUUAAUAUUAUAUUUAUUCUAUUAUUUGUAAUAGAUUAUAAUAAUCGAUAAUGAAAAGAAAAGUUACAAUUUGACCAAAUUAAUUAAAUAAAAUAUUCAAAGAAACGAGUGACAUGAUAAUAAAUAAAAAUAAAAAAUUUAAAUUUGGAUGAAAGUAUAUUUAAAAAAAUAACGUUAUUAAAAAUUCAUUUUUUUAUUUAUAAAGUUAUAAAAAUAAAACAUAACUAUACACUUGUAUUUUAGUCUUAACAGGUUACAUAAAUCACUCAAAUUUUCUCCUAACUAGACAAACUUGAUAGACUUAAUUGCAGUUUUGGUCUCUCUAUUUUAGCUAAAUCACGAAAGUAGUUCCCCCAUUUUAUUUCUCCUCCAUUUUGGUCCCCCAAACUGAAUUUUGAUCCAAAACUUGAUGAAGUGACAUUUUUUGAAGUCACACCACACCAUUUAUGAUCAUAGGUUUCAUGUAUAAUUGUUGCACAACGAGAUCUUGAGACAUGAUAUGACUUAAAUAAAUGCAAAAAAAUGAAAUUUCAUCAAGUUUUAUACCAAAGUUCUGAUUUGGGGGACUAAAAUUGAGGAGAAAUAAAAUGGGGGGGACUACUUUCACGAUUCAGCUAAAAUAAGGGGAUCAAAACUGCAGUUAAGCCAACUUGAUAAUACUUAAAAACAAGUCACUUAAGUUUUAUCUCAACUAGAUAAACUUGAUUAUGUUUAUCAUAAGACGAUACUGAUGAUUUGUUUUGGAUCUGAUCACAAUACUAUUAUUGAAAUAGGUUGAAUCAAGAACACACUUAAAAGUUUGAUCCUAAAAUCUAUGACAAAGAGUAGUAGUGUGUUUCUUGAUAAUUAAAGAGAAAUUUGAUAGUUUUACACUUAAGGAAGUGAAAUAUGUUUGAUUGUAGUCUCUUGGAGAUUGCAACUUAAAGCAUAAUUUAUUUAUAGACUUGGGAUAGCUCCCUAUUGUUGUAAAUGACACAUAUAACCAGAACACAUGUCCCAAUGUGUUGGAAUAUGCUGCUUGAAUGUCCUUUUCUUUAUGGAUAAUCAUCAUCUUCUUUGAAGAUAUUUAUGAUCAUCAUCUACUUUGUAUGAAAAUAUCUUCAUCAAUAUGAAGAUAUCCUCUUCUGUUUUGAACAUGAUAGAGGAGUUCGAUCGUCCUCUUGACAGCUUGAUACAACCUAUCAUAAGCUGUAAGGUAGAUGUGUGAGCUUGCAAUGAGUUAUCAUUUGUACUUAUAGUACAUAACAUUCUCUACUCAACGUCCUUGUGUUUGAACAUCUUCAAGUCUAAAGAAUAUGCACGAGUAUGACUAAAAAAUAUAAUUAAAUCUUCAUAAAGAGUUAAUUUGUUUUUGCACACGUAUAUAGUGACAAUUUGUCCCUUUUAAAAUAUUCUUUUUGCUCUUUGUGUCAUAUGAGAAUGUUUUUUUGUACUAUGAUGUACAUUUUGUCAUUUAUGUUUUGAUUGUCAUUAAUGAAUAUCCUCACUUCUUCAAUUAACGAAACUGAUGAUGAACACUUUCAAUUUUGAGAAUGAUGAAUGUAACACCUCAAAUUUUAUAAUAAACUAUUUUAUUAAUUAAAUAGGAUUUUAAAUAAUUAAUUUGACGUUAAAAUUAUUUUAUAAUAUAUGUUAAUAGAUUUUGGGAUUAAUUUUUGUUGUAUAGGUGCUUUAUAUGAUAUGCUAGUUUUAUAAAUAUUAGAUUAAAUGUGCGAUAUAAAUAAUAAAUAUUUUAUUUUAUUAUUUGAUAUAAUUUUUAAAAAUAAUAGUACUUUAGUGUAAUAUUUUAAAGAAAAAUAUUUUAUGCGAUUUUACGUUUAAAUAUGCACGCAGUUAUAUUUCAAUUAUUUAUAACUAUUUUCUAUUUUUAGUUUUUUUUAAUAAUUAUCUUGGGAUAGUAGGGAUAUUGUGUUUGAUUUUCUUUAUUUUUAUAUACUUGUUAUGACAUUGUGAUUAUAUAUAUAUAUAUAUAUUUACUAUGAUUUAGUAAUUAACAUAAACUAUUGAUUUUAUACUUAUUUAUUUUAUAACUUUGAAUAUUCUCUAAUGAUGGUAGUAUUUUAAUGUGAGUAUUUAAAAUAAAAUAAAAAGUAUCGUUAGGGUGAUUAUUUUGAAUAUGAGGGUUUUGAUUAUUAAUAUAUUUAAAAAGAUUAAUUACUUUAUUUUAUAAAAUAUUACUUUGGAAAUAUUAGUAAUAUUUAGUAAUUAAAUCAUGUUAAAAAAAUGUUAAAACAUUAGUUUUAGUAAUUAUUAGUUUUAUUUAAAAAUAAAUAAAUAGACCGAUGGGUUUGACCCAUGAACCUAAUUGUUAAUAAAAUAAAACAAACAAAAAAUGGGGAAGGGAGUUGGACGGCAGCUGUAAAGCCAAAGAGAAACACAACAACAACAACCUAUCAUUUGACAUCGGUGAUCGAUAACUGUUCUAGAAAACUUUGUCUGAUUUCAUCCAAAUUUUAGUAUGUUGUUUCACUAAUUUAGUUAGUUAUUUAAACAUGUUUUUCCAUAUCUUUAGCCAUUCAAAAUUCUCUCUAAAAUAUCCGACUUCUCUGUUUGUCAAUUUCUUAUUUUGCACCGUUCUUAUUCAUCGUAAGUCCGAUUUGAGUGAACCAACGCCAAAACGAUCGUGUGAAAAAUGGUUAUAUUAUCCACUGAUUGGUUUUCUAAUUUAUUGUAAGUUUCCUUGACCGAAUUUUGAAAUUAGUUUUAGAAUGUCUUCUCAUAAUUUAUUUUUAACGUUUACCCAUAAACUGUCAAGUUAGAUCGAUUGAAGGACAAAUAGUCACUGAACAAAUGUUGUUUGCUCGUGAAAUUGUAUUCUUGUGUGAAAGCGUCGAAAUAAGGUAAGGGGUGAGAGAGCGUUUGAAUUCACGAGUAUAAUAUAUUGUGAGAUGAACGGGAAAACUGUAUUUUUCAACGAUUCAUCUAGGGCUUGCUACGUACGGCAGUAGCCCUUGAGAGAUAAAUUAAUUGAUAUGCAAGUGUGAAAAUUGUGAGAAUAAAAAGUGGAAUAGAAAUAUUUAUAAGGUGUUGAUUGAUUUAAUUUCGUUAAAUGUGUCUAUUUAAUAUUGUUGUGAUAUUGAGUGUCGAAUGAAUUUUAUGUAUAUGUUUGAUUCAACGAGUUUAUGUGAUGUGUUAAUAAAAAGUGAAUUCAUUUUGAUAAGUUUAUGUGAUUAUGAUGAUGUAUAAUUAAUAACAAUGAUGUUAUAAAUUAGUGACAAGUAUAUGUGAUGAUGUACGAUUGAUGAUAGUGUUGCUAUAAAAUUGUAAUGAAUUUAUGUGAUGAGAUACGAUUAAUGAUAGUGAUGUUGUGAAUUUAUGAUGGGAAUAUUGAAGUAACCCCAUAGUUGGUGAAAUAAUUGUGAUUCCAAUUUGUGUUUGAGAUGACGGUCUUAAUGGAGUAUCAUGGGUCAACGGGAGAGAAAAUAAAUAUUAAGAAUUUGUGAAGUGAAUAUUAUUUUGUCAUCAUAUAGGUAGGGUCUGACAAGCCUAUUGAUUUUGGGGAAAUACAACUGAAUGAGCUUGAUCGUGGCGGUCUGUUAUUGAGCCUUAAGGCAAGAUUGUUAGACCUUAGAGGUAUUCGAGUGGGGAAUUCAUAUGUGACUUAGAGGCAGCACUCCAAAUAUUGGGAACUACCAUGCAACAGAUGUUUACCUCGACUGUCGCAUAUAUGUGUUUUAGGUUGAGUUGAGGGGAUCUAUGAGGACAUGACCAAUUUGAAUUGUCCGUCCAUCGGGAUGGUGGCAUAGUAUCAAGCCUCCUAACCAAGUACUUCAGAGUUAGAAUGGUACCACAUUAUGAAUUAGAGUCUAAGCUCAUGCAUAGCAUUGCAUUUUCUUAUGAUUGUUUUGUUGUGAUUAAUAUGUGUCGUGUGUGAUAAUAAUUUUUCUUAUAUGAUUUAAUGUUAUAGUGAAAUGUAUUGAUUUUCCUUGAGUGAUUUUGACUUUAUAAUGUUAUGUUUUUUCUUGAAAAAUGUUUGUGUAAUGAUACAGUUCAUUUAUGAUUAAUUGUGUGUUCUCCUUACUUAUAUUAUACUAUUAACAUGAUUUUGAAGCUCAUCUCCUUCGUUGUUUGUGUUUGACUGAUUUGUCCAUGCGUUUGCAAAAUCGCAGUUAUUACAGAUUAAUGAGUCUUGAAGUUCAGGUUUGGGAG
Molecule: long non-coding RNA, 7534 nt
Filed under: Cicer arietinum (chickpea)
Lineage: Eukaryota; Viridiplantae; Streptophyta; Magnoliopsida; Fabales; Fabaceae
Description: long non-coding RNA (CARI_LNC002040)
Source: RNAcentral